This 2898-nucleotide ribosomal RNA is filed under the name Escherichia coli DEC3C. RNAcentral describes it as "bacterial LSU rRNA". It matches the Rfam family "Bacterial large subunit ribosomal RNA". The record is from RNAcentral. Lineage: Bacteria; Pseudomonadati; Pseudomonadota; Gammaproteobacteria; Enterobacterales; Enterobacteriaceae.
UUAAGCGACUAAGCGUACACGGUGGAUGCCCUGGCAGUCAGAGGCGAUGAAGGACGUGCUAAUCUGCGAUAAGCGUCGGUAAGGUGAUAUGAACCGUUAUAACCGGCGAUUUCCGAAUGGGGAAACCCAGUGUGAUUCGUCACACUAUCAUUAACUGAAUCCAUAGGUUAAUGAGGCGAACCGGGGGAACUGAAACAUCUAAGUACCCCGAGGAAAAGAAAUCAACCGAGAUUCCCCCAGUAGCGGCGAGCGAACGGGGAGGAGCCCAGAGCCUGAAUCAGUGUGUGUGUUAGUGGAAGCGUCUGGAAAGGCGCGCGAUACAGGGUGACAGCCCCGUACACAAAAAUGCACAUACUGUGAGCUCGAUGAGUAGGGCGGGACACGUGGUAUCCUGUCUGAAUAUGGGGGGACCAUCCUCCAAGGCUAAAUACUCCUGACUGACCGAUAGUGAACCAGUACCGUGAGGGAAAGGCGAAAAGAACCCCGGCGAGGGGAGUGAAAAAGAACCUGAAACCGUGUACGUACAAGCAGUGGGAGCCUCUUUUAUGGGGUGACUGCGUACCUUUUGUAUAAUGGGUCAGCGACUUAUAUUCUGUAGCAAGGUUAACCGAAUAGGGGAGCCGAAGGGAAACCGAGUCUUAACCGGGCGUUAAGUUGCAGGGUAUAGACCCGAAACCCGGUGAUCUAGCCAUGGGCAGGUUGAAGGUUGGGUAACACUAACUGGAGGACCGAACCGACUAAUGUUGAAAAAUUAGCGGAUGACUUGUGGCUGGGGGUGAAAGGCCAAUCAAACCGGGAGAUAGCUGGUUCUCCCGAAAGCUAUUUAGGUAGCGCCUCGUGAAUUCAUCGUCCGGGGGUAGAGCACUGUUUCGGCGAAGGGGUCAUCCCGACUUACCAACCCGAUGCAAACUGCGAAUACCGGAGAAUGUUAUCACGGGAGACACACGGCGGGUGCUAACGUCCGUCGUGAAGAGGGAAACAACCCAGACCGCCAGCUAAGGUCCCAAAGUCAUGGUUAAGUGGGAAACGAUGUGGGAAGGCCCAGACAGCCAGGAUGUUGGCUUAGAAGCAGCCAUCAUUUAAGAAAGCGUAAUAGCUCACUGGUCGAGUCGGCCUGCGCGGAAGAUGUAACGGGGCUAAACCAUGCACCGAAGCUGCGGCAGCGACACUGUGUGUUGUUGGGUAGGGGAGCGUUCUGUAAGCCUGUGAAGGUGUCUGUGAGGAUGCUGGAGGUAUCAGAAGUGCGAAUGCUGACAUAAGUAACGAUAAAGCGGGUGAAAAGCCCGCUCGCCGGAAGACCAAGGGUUCCUGUCCAACGUUAAUCGGGGCAGGGUGAGUCGACCCCUAAGGCGAGGCCGAAAGGCGUAGUCGAUGGGAAACAGGUUAAUAUUCCUGUACUUGGUGUUACUGCGAAGGGGGGACGGAGAAGGCUAUGUUGGCCGGGCGACGGUUGUCCCGGUUUAAGCGUGUAGGCUGGUUUUCCAGGCAAAUCCGGAAAAUCAAGGCUGAGGCGUGAUGACGAGGCACUACGGUGCUGAAGCAACAAAUGCCCUGCUUCCAGGAAAAGCCUCUAAGCAUCAGGUAACAUCAAAUCGUACCCCAAACCGACACAGGUGGUCAGGUAGAGAAUACCAAGGCGCUUGAGAGAACUCGGGUGAAGGAACUAGGCAAAAUGGUGCCGUAACUUCGGGAGAAGGCACGCUGAUAUGUAGGUGAAGUCCCUCGCGGAUGGAGCUGAAAUCAGUCGAAGAUACCAGCUGGCUGCAACUGUUUAUUAAAAACACAGCACUGUGCAAACACGAAAGUGGACGUAUACGGUGUGACGCCUGCCCGGUGCCGGAAGGUUAAUUGAUGGGGUCAGCGCAAGCGAAGCUCUUGAUCGAAGCCCCGGUAAACGGCGGCCGUAACUAUAACGGUCCUAAGGUAGCGAAAUUCCUUGUCGGGUAAGUUCCGACCUGCACGAAUGGCGUAAUGAUGGCCAGGCUGUCUCCACCCGAGACUCAGUGAAAUUGAACUCGCUGUGAAGAUGCAGUGUACCCGCGGCAAGACGGAAAGACCCCGUGAACCUUUACUAUAGCUUGACACUGAACAUUGAGCCUUGAUGUGUAGGAUAGGUGGGAGGCUUUGAAGUGUGGACGCCAGUCUGCAUGGAGCCGACCUUGAAAUACCACCCUUUAAUGUUUGAUGUUCUAACGUGGACCCGUGAUCCGGGUUGCGGACAGUGUCUGGUGGGUAGUUUGACUGGGGCGGUCUCCUCCUAAAGAGUAACGGAGGAGCACGAAGGUUGGCUAAUCCUGGUCGGACAUCAGGAGGUUAGUGCAAUGGCAUAAGCCAGCUUGACUGCGAGCGUGACGGCGCGAGCAGGUGCGAAAGCAGGUCAUAGUGAUCCGGUGGUUCUGAAUGGAAGGGCCAUCGCUCAACGGAUAAAAGGUACUCCGGGGAUAACAGGCUGAUACCGCCCAAGAGUUCAUAUCGACGGCGGUGUUUGGCACCUCGAUGUCGGCUCAUCACAUCCUGGGGCUGAAGUAGGUCCCAAGGGUAUGGCUGUUCGCCAUUUAAAGUGGUACGCGAGCUGGGUUUAGAACGUCGUGAGACAGUUCGGUCCCUAUCUGCCGUGGGCGCUGGAGAACUGAGGGGGGCUGCUCCUAGUACGAGAGGACCGGAGUGGACGCAUCACUGGUGUUCGGGUUGUCAUGCCAAUGGCACUGCCCGGUAGCUAAAUGCGGAAGAGAUAAGUGCUGAAAGCAUCUAAGCACGAAACUUGCCCCGAGAUGAGUUCUCCCUGACCCUUUAAGGGUCCUGAAGGAACGUUGAAGACGACGACGUUGAUAGGCCGGGUGUGUAAGCGCAGCGAUGCGUUGAGCUAACCGGUACUAAUGAACCGUGAGGCUUAACCUU